This 483-nucleotide ribosomal RNA is filed under the name uncultured bacterium. RNAcentral's name for it is "partial 16S ribosomal RNA". It matches the Rfam family "Bacterial small subunit ribosomal RNA", at positions 29 to 507 of the family's 1533-position model. The record is from RNAcentral.
ACGCACGCUGGCGGCAUGCUUUACACAUGCAAGUCGAACGGCAGCGCGGGCUUCGGCCUGGCGGCGAGUGGCGAACGGGUGAGUAAUGCAUCGGAACGUGCCCAGUAGUGGGGGAUAGCCCGGCGAAAGCCGGAUUAAUACCGCAUACGACCUGAGGGUGAAAGCGGGGGACCGAAAGGCCUCGCGCUAUUGGAGCGGCCGAUGUCGGAUUAGCUAGUUGGUGGGGUAAAGGCUUACCAAGGCGACGAUCCGUAGCUGGUCUGAGAGGACGACCAGCCACACUGGGACUGAGACACGGCCCAGACUCCUACGGGAGGCAGCAGUGGGGAAUUUUGGACAAUGGGGGCAACCCUGAUCCAGCCAUGCCGCGUGCGGGAAGAAGGCCUUCGGGUUGUAAACCGCUUUUGUUCGGGAAGAAAUCCUCUGGGCUAAUACCCCGGGGGGAUGACGGUACCGGAAGAAUAAGCACCGGCUAACUACGUG